UACGUAGGGGGCUAGCGUUGUCCGGAUUUAUUGGGCGUAAAGAGCGUGUAGGCGGCCAGGUAGGUCCGCUGUGAAAGUCCGAGGCUCAACCUCGGAAUGUCGGCGGAAACCCUCUGGCUAGAGUCCGGAGGAGGAGAGUGGAAUUCCCGGUGUAGCGGUGAAAUGCGCAGAUAUCGGGAAGAACACCCGUGGCGAAGGCGGCUCUCUGGAACGGUACUGACGCUGAGACGCGAAAGCGUGGGGAGCGAACAGG
This 253-nucleotide ribosomal RNA is filed under the name uncultured bacterium. Its description in RNAcentral is "partial 16S ribosomal RNA". It matches the Rfam family "Bacterial small subunit ribosomal RNA", at positions 524 to 776 of the family's 1533-position model. The record is from RNAcentral.